Molecule: ribosomal RNA, 460 nt
Filed under: uncultured bacterium
Lineage: Bacteria
Description: partial 16S ribosomal RNA
Rfam family: Bacterial small subunit ribosomal RNA
Source: RNAcentral
CCUACGGGCGGCAGCAGUGAGGAAUAUUGGUCAAUGGACGAGAGUCUGAACCAGCCAAGUAGCGUGAAGGAUGACUGCCCUAUGGGUUGUAAACUUCUUUUAUAUGGGAAUAAAACGUUCCACGUGUGGGAUUUUGUAUGUACCAUAUGAAUAAGGAUCGGCUAACUCCGUGCCAGCAGCCGCGGUAAUACGGAGGAUCCGAGCGUUAUCCGGAUUUAUUGGGUUUAAAGGGGGCGUAGGUGGAUUGUUAAGUCAGUUGUGAAAGUUUGCGGCUCAACCGUAAAAUUGCAGUUGAAACUGGCAGUCUUGAGUACAGUAGAGGUGGGCGGAAUUCGUGGUGUAGCGGUGAAAUGCUUAGAUAUCACGAAGAACUCCGAUUGCGAAGGCAGUUCACUGGACUGCAACUGACACUGAGGCUCGAAAGUGUAGGUAUCAAACAGGAUUAGAUACCCGGGUAGUC